Long non-coding RNA from Octopus sinensis (East Asian common octopus), 289 nucleotides. RefSeq lists it as uncharacterized. NCBI's taxonomy places the organism in Eukaryota, Metazoa, Mollusca, Cephalopoda, Octopoda, Octopodidae. The record is from RefSeq and is a predicted model, not a curated record. The transcript is spliced from 2 exons.
CCAAUUAUGUUGAUGAAAUCUAUAUCAAACACACCAAACCUUGACGUUGAUGAAUUAAGGCAAGAGGAACUUGAAAAGUUGCUUAAACAAUAUCAUAUCAUUGAUGGAAGUAAAUCAAUUUCAACUAUUGCAAAUAGAAAAAUAUUAUUUCGUCAAAUGAAUGAGUUAGCUUUUCUCGAAAAUGAAAAACGUGAACUAAAUGCAAAUCUUUAUCUAACACAGUCAGCAAAAAAUGAAAUGAUGGAUAAUAAAAUAAUAGAUGAAAUCAAAGCGCUUUUACUAAUAAUAG